GGCCGAGUGGCGGAAUGGUAUACGCAACGGACUUAAAAUCCGUGGCUCGAAAGGGCGUGAGGGUUCGAGUCCCUCCUUGGCCACCA
This 86-nucleotide transfer RNA is filed under the name Patescibacteria group bacterium. RNAcentral's name for it is "tRNA-Leu". It matches the Rfam family "tRNA". Rfam says of the family: Transfer RNA (tRNA) molecules are approximately 80 nucleotides in length. The record is from RNAcentral.